UGGCGUUUUAGUAGCAGCGGCAAAAGAAGCAAUGGUGGUCGCGUCGGUGACUGUUUGUGAUGGGGGAAGCGCUGCAGCUACUCUUAUGCGUCGUUUUGCUUGCCUUACUUGCCACGUUUUUCUGAUUCGAAUCUGAUUCCAGGCCAGGUCUGGGCAAGCAUGUAGCUCUUUGGUCGAUAUCAAAAAGGGACCUAGAACGAAGAAGUGAAUGCGAGUUUGUUCUGACCAGCCUUCGAUUGGAGUGUGGUGUGAUGAUAGCACAAUGGCGGAAGGAAGUUAGUUGAGGAAACGAUGGCACGACCUAUUGGGCACGAAUACAUAGAUAUGAACGCAGGCAAACAGUUGGUACAGGAUGUCGACCUCAAUAAAGACAGCCUGCAGGAUCGUGUAUACUCCAAAUGCAUGCCAAAUCUACGUAGGUUGGCCGGUCUUUCAUUCAGUCAAUGCUUGAGGUGUAUCUGGAAUUAUUGGACGUCCUUCCUGCCGAAUUGAAAACUAGGUCUUGGUACUUUUAAGCUGACAAUUAUACGACCCAAAUACUCGUAUCGGGUGGAACAAAUGGUUUGGAAAAUGUCGUUAUGAG
Varroa destructor (honeybee mite) is the source of this 583-nucleotide RNA transcript. RefSeq lists it as uncharacterized. Lineage: Eukaryota; Metazoa; Arthropoda; Arachnida; Mesostigmata; Varroidae. The record is from RefSeq and is a predicted model, not a curated record.